CAGUCAUGAUGGUUCAGGAGCUGCCAGUAUGCCAGGUGUAGAUAAUAAAGGCAAUUUUGUGUGUUAUUGAGUGGUGAUCUGUGGCAAUUAGAUCACUAUGUUAACUACAAAGCCAAACAGAAAUUGAAAGCAGUAAUAGAAAGAAGUCACUUAAAAAUACUGAACAAGUAAAGUCAGAAUCAAGCAGUCAAAUGAACAGUAAGGCAUCUAUGGAGAGAAGAAUAGUCCCACAGCACAGUUCAGAUAUAAGAGAAGCAAUAGCAUUCUUUGACUCAGUUAUUGCAGAUCUGGAUUCAGAGAGAUGGCGGAGAGUUCCUGACAUGGAUUUGCCAAACGUGGAUGUUGAUUUCGAUGUUGCUAAGAGCACACGUGAACACAGUUUACAUUCAAACUGGAUCCUUCGUGCUCCCCGCAGGUACUCUCAAGAUACUGCCCAAACAGCCAAGGCUGCAAACCAGUCUCAGAGAAACAGCCAACGGAGAACCACUGGCUCUAGGAAGAGGUUGGAAAGACAUCCCAUGUACUUGCCCAAAGCGGUGGAAGGAGCAUAUAACACGUUAAAAUUUAAGCCCAAAACACAUAAGAGAGAAUAUUGA
This 596-nucleotide long non-coding RNA is filed under the name Anas platyrhynchos platyrhynchos (common mallard). RNAcentral's name for it is "lncRNA (ENSAPLG00000016596.1)". The record is from RNAcentral. Lineage: Eukaryota; Metazoa; Chordata; Aves; Anseriformes; Anatidae.